RNAcentral lists this ribosomal RNA (496 nucleotides) under uncultured bacterium. RNAcentral's name for it is "partial 16S ribosomal RNA". It matches the Rfam family "Bacterial small subunit ribosomal RNA", at positions 28 to 507 of the family's 1533-position model. The record is from RNAcentral.
GAUGAACGCUGGCGGCGUGCCUAAUACAUGCAAGUCGAGCGAACAGACGAGGAGCUUGCUCCUCUGACGUUAGCGGCGGACGGGUGAGUAACACGUGGAUAACCUACCUAUAAGACUGGGAUAACUUCGGGAAACCGGAGCUAAUACCGGAUAAUAUAUUGAACCGCAUGGUUCAAUAGUGAAAGACGGUUUUGCUGUCACUUAUAGAUGGAUCCGCGCCGCAUUAGCUAGUUGGUAAGGUAACGGCUUACCAAGGCAACGAUGCGUAGCCGACCUGAGAGGUGGACGGGCCAAACGGAACUGGAGACACGUCCCAGCUCCUUAGGGAGGGCAGCGUAGGGAAACCUUCCGAAAUGGGCGAAGGCUGGAGGGGGCAAGGCGGCGGAGGGAAGAAGGUCUUCCGGUUCUAAAACCCUGUUAUUAGGGAAGAACAAAUGUGUAAGUAACUAUGCACGUCUUGACGGUACCUAAUCAGAAAGCCACGGCUAACUACGUG